AAGUCGUAACAAGGUUUCCGUAGGUGAACCUGCGGAAGGAUCAUUACCGAGUCUUGAAAGGGGUUGAUGCUGGCCUUCCGAGGCAUGUGCUCGCCCUGCUCAUCCACUUUAACACCUGUGCACACUCGAGACGUGGCCCUCCGUCAUGGGAGAUGGUUCCCCCUUUGCCUUCACCGGGAAAGGGGUUGAGCUUGGGGCCUCGCUCUCCUUUUAUACAAACCACUGUUGUCAUGUCUGGUAGAAUGUAAACCGCCUUUAACGGGCAUCUAAUACAACUUUCAACAACGGAUCUCUUGGCUCUC
Molecule: unclassified non-coding RNA, 302 nt
Filed under: air metagenome
Description: partial contains small subunit ribosomal RNA, internal transcribed spacer 1, and 5.8S ribosomal RNA
Rfam family: Eukaryotic small subunit ribosomal RNA (bases 1-46)
Source: RNAcentral